This 492-nucleotide ribosomal RNA is filed under the name uncultured bacterium. RNAcentral describes it as "partial 16S ribosomal RNA". It matches the Rfam family "Bacterial small subunit ribosomal RNA", at positions 29 to 507 of the family's 1533-position model. The record is from RNAcentral.
AGUGAACGCUGGCGGUAGGCCUAACACAUGCAAGUCGAACGGCAGCACAGUAAGAGCUUGCUCUUACGGGUGGCGAGUGGCGGACGGGUGAGGAAUACAUCGGAAUCUACUUUUUCGUGGGGGAUAACGUAGGGAAACUUACGCUAAUACCGCAUACGACCUACGGGUGAAAGCAGGGGAUCUUCGGACCUUGCGCGAUUGAAUGAGCCGAUGUCGGAUUAGCUAGUUGGCGGGGUAAAGGCCCACCAAGGCGACGAUCCGUAGCUGGUCUGAGAGGGUGAUCAGCCACACUGGAACUGAGACACGGUCCAGACUCCUACGGGAGGCAGCAGUGGAGAAUAUUGGACAAUGGGCGCAAGCCUGAUCCAGCCAUACCGCGUGGGUGAAGAAGGCCUUCGGGUUGUAAAGCCCUUUUGUUGGGAAAGAAAAGCAGCAGGUUAAUACCCCGCUGUUCUGACGGUACCCAAAGAAUAAGCACCGGCUAACUUCGUG